Megalobrama amblycephala (Wuchang bream) is the source of this 1232-nucleotide long non-coding RNA. RefSeq lists it as uncharacterized. NCBI's taxonomy places the organism in Eukaryota, Metazoa, Chordata, Actinopteri, Cypriniformes, Xenocyprididae. The transcript has 5 exons. The record is from RefSeq and is a predicted model, not a curated record.
CAUACAUUUUCAGGAAAGUAACAGUCAAGCAAUCAUAGACAGGAAACAAUUCUUUAGUGGCUCCUCUUUAUUUUCUAAAGAAGUUAGAAAAGCAUUUUGACACCUUUGUAUUAAAUGUUUCUAAUGUAAGACAAUACACUAAUUUCAGUUUCAGCCUCUGCUUGAAAUGUGAUGUUCAAAUGUUUAAAAUGGGUAUAACUGAAAUAAUUAUAAUGUAAUAAGCCUACGAUUAAUAAUUUAUUUGCUGUUAAAAUGUAAUAACAUUUUAAAUGUUAUUUUAAUGGAAACUAAUAUCAAGUAACUGAUCAAAAGUUGUUUGGUUGCUCAUUCAUAGUGGGCAGUGCCGUUUGGUUUUGGUUUGGCUCAUUGAUGCCGCAUCCUGUGUUUUGUAGGCUGGUAACAGUUUCAUUUAGUGUUAGAUAAGCACAGAGGCAUUUGGAUGAUGGACCAGUCAAUCACUUUUUAUUUACAAUGUUCAAAUUUGUAAUGGUGAUCUUGGGACCAAACAUAAUGGAAGAACCUUUAGAAGACCCUUGAAGACCAACUGAAGGAUUGAAGGGUUGGACUGUGACUGGAAAUGACAGACACAGAAGACGGGUCACAGAUAAGUUUUAUUAAAUUAAACACAGCUUUUAUGAUUAUGUAUUCAUUUAUUUAUGAUACCUGUAAUAGGCAUGUAAUAAAUGUGUUGUUACAAUACUAGACAAUAUUAGUUGUUUCAAUAAAGGUUUGUGGCUCCUAAUGAUUAUAUCAAGGAAUAAUUGUCAUAUAUACAUUAAUUUAAAAAUUAAACAAUAUUUGUACAGAAAUAAUGAUUAUUAUUUUUAAUUUGCUAAUCCUAUAUUUUUUUAUCAGUAUAGAUUUUUUAUUGCUAUUUGGAGGACCUUCGUUAGACGGCGCACUUUCUUGGUUUCUUCGAUUUAUGAAACCACAAUUGUUAUGGGUUCGAAAUUGAGUCAUCCCCAUCAACCCAAAGAGGGUCAAAUGAAGACCCCUAUCCAGAGUGUGGAAAACCCUAAAGGAUAUGGUGGUGUGAUAAUAUGUGAUAAGGAGACAUUCAUCAUUAACAGUCCACACUUGGUGGCAGUUCCUGAUAAUAGAGCCUUGAUUAGGGGGAAAAGUUCUGUCAGACCUGUUCUGUUUAAUGGCAAGUGAUGACAAGAAGACAAAUGGCUUCCAAGACAUCCAAGAUCUGCUCCCAUUAUACUUAAAAUAAAGCCAUUUCAUUUUCA